Molecule: ribosomal RNA, 1293 nt
Filed under: Anthobium melanocephalum
Lineage: Eukaryota; Metazoa; Arthropoda; Insecta; Coleoptera; Staphylinidae
Description: 16S ribosomal RNA
Rfam family: Archaeal large subunit ribosomal RNA (bases 1049-1208)
Source: RNAcentral
AUUUAAUGACUUAUUAAUUUUAUUUUUAAAAAAAAUAUUUUUAAGUUUAAUUAUUAAUUAAGAAAAAAUUAAUUUUAUUAUAAAUUAAUAGUAUUGUGAAAGAAAGUUUAAAUAUUUGAAAAAUUAAAUGUUUAAAAGAAAAAUUUAAAUUUUGUACCUUGUGUAUCAGGGCUUAUUAAUUAAUAAUUAAUUAUUUAAUUUUCUCGAUUUUGAAAGAGUUAAAAAAUAAUAAAUUUUAUUGUUGAAUAAAUAUUUAAAAUUAUUUUUUAGAAAUGAAACGUUAUUCGUUUUCAAAUAUAUCUAGUUUUUAAAGAAAAGUAUAUAAUACUGUUAUUAUUUAAAUAUUUAUUAAUUAUGAAAUAAAAUAUAAAAAUAAUAAAAAAUAAUUUAGGGGAUAAGCUUUAAAUUAGAUUACUAUAAAUUUAUAAUUUUAAAAACUUUUGUAGGAUUAGAAAUUUUCAUCAAUUAUAGUAUGUUAUAAUUAAGGUUUUUUAAAAUAUUCUUUAUAUCUAUAUUAGAUAUUUUAUUUAAAUUAUUUAUUUAAUAUUUAAAUAAAUGUAAUAAUGAUAAAAUUAGUAUAAUUUAAUGUAUUUUUAAUUUUAUUUUUAUAGGUUAAAUUAAGGAAUUCGGCAAAUAGUUUCUCGCCUGUUUACUAAAAACAUGUCUUUUUGAAUAUAAUUUAAAGUCUGACCUGCCCACUGAAAUUUUGAAUGGCCGCAGUAUUUUGACUGUGCGAAGGUAGCAUAAUAAUUAGUUUUUUAAUUGAAAGCUGGAAUGAAUGGUUGAACGAGGAAAAAACUGUCUCAAUUUAAUUUAAAUUAGAACUUUAUCUUUAAGUAAAAAAGCUUAAAUAUAUUUUAAAGACGAGAAGACCCUAUAGAGUUUUAUAUUUUUAUUUAUUUAAAAUAUAAAGAAUUUUAUUUUUUUAAUAAAUAAAAAUAUUUUAUUGGGGUGAUGGAAAAAUUUAAUAAACUUUUUUUUUAUUUUAAACAUUUAUUUAUGAAUUAUUGAUCCAAUAUUUUUGAUUAUAAGAUUAAAUUACCUUAGGGAUAACAGCGUAAUUUUUUUUAAGAGUUCUAAUCGAAAAAAAAGAUUGCGACCUCGAUGUUGGAUUAAAAUUAAUUUUUGGUGUAGAAGCUAAAAAUAUUAGGUCUGUUCGACCUUUAAAAUUUUACAUGAUCUGAGUUUAAACCGGUGUGAGCCAGGUUGGUUUCUAUCUUUAAAUAAUAAUAAUAUUUUAGUACGAAAGGACCAAAUAUUUAUAAAAUUUAUUUUAUUAUGAAUACUAUUAAU